GUAGGGAAUAUUGCACAAUGGAGGAAACUCUGAUGCAGCGACGCCGCGUGAGUGAUGAAGGCCUUCGGGUCGUAACGCUCUGUCGCAGGGGAAUAACACAAUGAAGGUACCCUGUAAGAAAGGAUCGGCUAACUUCGUGCCAGCAGCCGCGGUAAGACGAGGGAUCCUAGCGUUGUUCGGAAUCAUUGGGCGUAAAGCGGAUGUAGGUGGCUAUGUAAGUCAGAUGUGAAAGCCUGGGGCUCAACCCCAGAUGUGCAUUUGAUACUGCGUAGCUUGAGUGUCGGAGAGGUUACUAGAAUUGUUGGUGUAGUGGUGAAAUACGUAGAUAUCAACAGGAAUACCGGAGGCGAAGGCGGGUAACUGGCCGAACACUGACACUGAGAUCCGAAAGCGUGGGGAUCAAACAGGAUUAGAUACCCGGGUAGUCC
This 428-nucleotide ribosomal RNA is filed under the name uncultured bacterium. Its description in RNAcentral is "partial 16S ribosomal RNA". It matches the Rfam family "Bacterial small subunit ribosomal RNA", at positions 354 to 796 of the family's 1533-position model. The record is from RNAcentral.